GUAAUCUCUCAAGGAAGCAAUUACACAGAUGGAGCGCUGAAUGAUGAGAACAGUGUCUCACGGACUCUAUGGACAUCUUGAGGGGGCAUCUGACAGGCCCGGUGACAUGCAGGAGUCACUGCCGAUGUUCUAUGUGGACCAAGCUAUGACUUGCGGGGACAUGUAGUCUACAACAAAGGGCAGGUUGGAGUUCCAAAUGAACGGUUUUCCUAAAGAGCCACAUCCUGGGAGUAUCAAUGAGAAACACCAUAGGGCUGUUUAUUUGGAGCAUGCUAGGUUGGAGGGCCCCUGCUGCUGAGAGGAUGACGACAGGAAGUGGAUGCCAUAGUGGUAAACUCAUGACUGUAUUAGAUAUCAUUUAGCACACUCAAAACGUAAGAGGAAGCUAUGUAUUGCUGCCAAGGAAGAUUUUACUGUAAUUAUCUUUGGAUGUCAUUUAAAUUAUGUAUUUACUAAAGGAUGCACAUGAGAAAUCAUG
Carassius carassius (crucian carp) is the source of this 478-nucleotide long non-coding RNA. RefSeq lists it as uncharacterized. The record is from RefSeq and is a predicted model, not a curated record. The transcript is spliced from 3 exons. NCBI's taxonomy places the organism in Eukaryota, Metazoa, Chordata, Actinopteri, Cypriniformes, Cyprinidae.